UCUAAUUAAAAAUCUAAGCUAAUAUCUAAAACUCCUAAUUAAUCAUAGAAUUUGAUUAAACUAAACAUGUUGCUCAUCAAGAAUUAAUCAUGUUUAAAACCUAAUUAAGUUAAUUAACAUGAAUUAAUCACAGCUUCAUGUUCGAAGGUCUGAGGUCUCAAAGAUUCGACAACACAAAGAUUCGAAGUGGUCCAUGAAGCUCAAAAUCUUUUAUGGUGUCGUUUGCUCUGGUGUCAACCGCACUUAAAUAGAGGAAGAAGAAAAACAUCAAAGAAG
This 276-nucleotide long non-coding RNA is filed under the name Lathyrus oleraceus (garden pea). Its description in RNAcentral is "Pisum sativum (pea) long non-coding RNA (PSAT_LNC003860)". The record is from RNAcentral. Lineage: Eukaryota; Viridiplantae; Streptophyta; Magnoliopsida; Fabales; Fabaceae.